UAAGGAAUAUUGGUCAAUGGAGGCAACUCUGAACCAGCCAUGCCGCGUGCAGGAAGACGGCCUUCUGGGUUGUAAACUGCUUUUCUACAGGAAGAAGGAGCCCUGCGGGGUUAUAUGACGGUACUGUAGGAAUAAGCACCGGCUAACUCCGUGCCAGCAGCCGCGGUAAUACGGAGGGUGCGAGCGUUGUCCGGAAUUAUUGGGUUUAAAGGGUGCGUAGGCGGGUCUUUAAGUCAGAGGUGAAAGCCCACAGCUCAACUGUGGAACUGCCUUUGAUACUGGAGACCUUGAGUAUCGUUGAGGUAGGCGGAAUUUAUGAUGUAGCGGUGAAAUGCAUAGAUAUCAUAAAGAACACCAAUUGCGUAGGCAGCUUACUGGACGAUAACUGACGCUGAGGCACGAAAGCGUGGGGAGCGAACAGG
This 422-nucleotide ribosomal RNA is filed under the name uncultured bacterium. RNAcentral's name for it is "bacterial SSU rRNA". It matches the Rfam family "Bacterial small subunit ribosomal RNA", at positions 355 to 776 of the family's 1533-position model. The record is from RNAcentral.